RNAcentral lists this ribosomal RNA (254 nucleotides) under uncultured prokaryote. Its description in RNAcentral is "partial 16S ribosomal RNA". It matches the Rfam family "Bacterial small subunit ribosomal RNA", at positions 524 to 777 of the family's 1533-position model. The record is from RNAcentral.
UACGGAGGAUGCAAGCGUUAUCCGGAUUUAUUGGGUUUAAAGGGUGCGCAGGUUGUUUGAUAAGUCAGUGGUGAAAGUCUGUCGCUUAACGGUAGGAUUGCCAUUGAUACUGUUAGACUUGAAUAUGGAUGAGGUAGGCGGAAUGUGUAGUGUAGCGGUGAAAUGCAUAGAUAUCACGAGGAACUCCGAUUGCGCAGGCAGCUUACUAAACUACUACUGACGCUCAUGCACGAAGGCGUGGGGAUCAAACAGGA